ACGGGAGGCAGCAGUGGGGGAUAUUGCACAAUGGGGGAAACCCUGAUGCAGCGACGCCGCGUGAGUGAAGAAGUAUUUCGGUAUGUAAAGCUCUAUCAGCAGGAAAGAUAAUGACGGUACCUGACUAAGAAGCCACGGCUAACUACGUGCCAGCAGCCGCGGUAAUACGUAGGUGGCAAGCGUUAUCCGGAUUUACUGGGUGUAAAGGGCGUGUAGGCGGAGAUUCAAGUCAGGAGUGAAAUCUAUGGGCUUAACCCAUAAACUGCUUUUGAAACUGAAUCCCUUGAGUAUCGGAGAGGCAGGCGGAAUUCCUAGUGUAGCGGUGAAAUGCGUAGAUAUUAGGAGGAACACCAGUGGCGAAGGCGGCCUGCUGGACGACAACUGACGCUGAGGCGCGAAAGCGUGGGGAGCAAACAGGAUUAGAUACCCUGGUA
This 434-nucleotide ribosomal RNA is filed under the name uncultured Clostridium sp. RNAcentral's name for it is "partial 16S ribosomal RNA". It matches the Rfam family "Bacterial small subunit ribosomal RNA", at positions 341 to 792 of the family's 1533-position model. The record is from RNAcentral. Lineage: Bacteria; Bacillati; Bacillota; Clostridia; Eubacteriales; Clostridiaceae.